GUAUGUCGCGAGCGUUAUCCGGAAUUAUUGGGCAUAAAGGGCAUCUAGGCGGCCGGAUAAGUCUGGGGUGAAAACUUGCGGCUCAACCGCAAGCCUGCCCUGGAAACUAUGCGGCUAGAGUACUGGAGAGGUGGACGGAACUGCACGAGUAGAGGUGAAAUUCGUAGAUAUGUGCAGGAAUGCCGAUGAUGAAGAUAGUUCACUGGACGGUAACUGACGCUGAAGUGCGAAAGCUAGGGGAGCAAACAGGAUUAGAUACCCUGGUAGUCCUAGCUGUAAACGAUGAUUACUGGGUGUGGGCAUGAAGAGUGUCCGUGCCGAAGCUAAUGCGAUAAGUAAUCCGCCUGGGGAGUACGGCCGCAAGGCUG
Molecule: ribosomal RNA, 368 nt
Filed under: uncultured Leptotrichia sp.
Lineage: Bacteria; Fusobacteriati; Fusobacteriota; Fusobacteriia; Fusobacteriales; Leptotrichiaceae
Description: bacterial SSU rRNA
Rfam family: Bacterial small subunit ribosomal RNA
Source: RNAcentral